GACGAACGCUGGCGGCGUGCUUAACACAUGCCAGUCGAACGGAAAGGCCCUGCUUUUGUGGGGUGCUCGAGUGGCGAACGGGUGAGUAACACGUGAGUAACCUGCCCUUGACUUUGGGAUAACUUCAGGAAACUGGGGCUAAUACCGGAUAGGAGCUCCUGCUGCAUGGUGGGGGUUGGAAAGUUUCGGCGGUUGGGGAUGGACUCGCGGCUUAUCAGCUUGUUGGUGGGGUAGUGGCUUACCAAGGCUUUGACGGGUAGCCGGCCUGAGAGGGUGACCGGCCACAUUGGGACUGAGAUACGGCCCAGACUCCUACGGGAGGCAGCAGUGGGGAAUAUUGCACAAUGGGCGGAAGCCUGAUGCAGCAACGCCGCGUGCGAGAUGACGGCCUUCGGGUUGUAAACCGCUUUCGCCUGUGACGAAGCGUGAGUGACGGUAAUGGGUAAAGAAGCACCGGCUAACUACGUG
This 468-nucleotide ribosomal RNA is filed under the name uncultured bacterium. RNAcentral's name for it is "partial 16S ribosomal RNA". It matches the Rfam family "Bacterial small subunit ribosomal RNA", at positions 28 to 507 of the family's 1533-position model. The record is from RNAcentral.